Molecule: ribosomal RNA, 116 nt
Filed under: Chinchilla lanigera (long-tailed chinchilla)
Lineage: Eukaryota; Metazoa; Chordata; Mammalia; Rodentia; Chinchillidae
Source: RNAcentral
GUCUAUGGCCAUACCACUCUGAACGCUCCCAAUCUUGUCUGACCUUGGAAGCUAAGCAGGGUCGGGCCUGGUUAGUACUUGGAUGGGAGAAUAUUAGAGGAUAAAUACCACAGAUG